RNAcentral lists this unclassified non-coding RNA (378 nucleotides) under uncultured Intrasporangiaceae bacterium. RNAcentral describes it as "contains 16S-23S intergenic spacer region". Lineage: Bacteria; Bacillati; Actinomycetota; Actinomycetes; Micrococcales; Intrasporangiaceae. The record is from RNAcentral.
UCCGAGUUGACCCCGGCAGUCUCCUAUGAGUCCCCGGCCGAACCGCUGGCAACAUAGAACGAGGGUUGCGCUCGUUGCGGGACUUAACCCAACAUCUCACGACACGAGCUGACGACAACCAUGCACCACCUGUACACCAGCCACAAAGGGGGCUCCCAUCUCUGGAAGUUUCCGGUGUAUGUCAAGCCUUGGUAAGGUUCUUCGCGUUGCAUCGAAUUAAUCCGCAUGCUCCGCCGCUUGUGCGGGCCCCCGUCAAUUCCUUUGAGUUUUAGCCUUGCGGCCGUACUCCCCAGGCGGGGCGCUUAAUGCGUUAGCUGCGGCACGGACCCCGUGGAAUGGGACCCACACCUAGCGCCCAACGUUUACGGCGUGGACUAC